This 531-nucleotide ribosomal RNA is filed under the name Coenagrion pulchellum. Its description in RNAcentral is "partial 16S ribosomal RNA". It matches the Rfam family "Bacterial large subunit ribosomal RNA", at positions 1830 to 2619 of the family's 2925-position model. The record is from RNAcentral. Lineage: Eukaryota; Metazoa; Arthropoda; Insecta; Odonata; Coenagrionidae.
GUCCUCUUGUUUUUUUUAGGAGGUCUAGCCUGCCCAGUGAAUAUUUUAACGGCCGCGGUAUAUUGACCGUGCAAAGGUAGCAUAAUCAUUAGUCUUUUAAUAGAAGGCUGGAAUGAAAGGUUUAACGAAAAAUUAGCUGUCUCAAUUAUAAACUUGAAUUUAGCUUUUAAGUCAAAAGGCUUAAAUUUCUUUGAUGGACGAGAAGACCCUAUAGAGCUUUACAUUUUAAUUUAAUAAAUUUAUUUGGAUUAAUAAUUUGAAUUUAUUUAUUUGAAUGUUUUGUUGGGGUGACAAGAAAUAUAUAAUUAACUUUUAUUAUUAAAUUUACAUUAAUAUAUGAUUAUUGGAUCCAUUAUUAUUGAUCAAUAGACUAAGUUACCUUAGGGAUAACAGCGUAAUCUUCCUUCAGAGUUCAAAUUUACAGGAAGGCUUGCGACCUCGAUGUUGGAUUAAGAUAAUAAUUAGGUGCAGUAGCUUAAUUAAUAGGUCUGUUCGACCUUUAAAUUCUUACAUGAUCUGAGUUCAGACCGG